CCUACGGGUGGCAGCAGUGAGGAAUAUUGGUCAAUGGGCGAGAGCCUGAACCAGCCAAGUCGCGUGAGGGAGUAAUGCCCUAUGGGUUGUAAACCUCUUUUGUCGGGGAGCAAAAGCCGGACGUGUCCGGCUGUGAGAGUACCCGGAGAAAAAGCAUCGGCUAACUCCGUGCCAGCAGCCGCGGUAAUACGGGGGAAGCGAGCGUUAUCCGGAUUUGUUGGGUUUAAAGGGUGCGCAGGCGGAUUUAUAAGUCAGCGGUCAAAACGUGGGGCUCAACCCCAUCCCGCCGUUGAAACUGGUGAGCUAGAGUGUGCGAGAGGUAUGCGGAAUGCAUGGUGUAGCGGUGAAAUGCAUAGAUAUCACGCAGAACCCCGAUUGCGAAGGCAGCUUACUAACCUGUGACUGACAUUGAUGCUCGAAAGUGUGGGUAUCAAACAGGAUUAGAUACCCGAGUAGUC
RNAcentral lists this ribosomal RNA (458 nucleotides) under uncultured bacterium. Its description in RNAcentral is "partial 16S ribosomal RNA". It matches the Rfam family "Bacterial small subunit ribosomal RNA", at positions 338 to 795 of the family's 1533-position model. The record is from RNAcentral.